UACGAAGGGGGCUAGCGUUGUUCGGAAUUAUUGGGCGUAAAGGGCGCGUAGGCGGUGCGGUAAGUCUGAUGUGAAAUCUCCGGGCUCAACUCGGAGUCUGCAUCAGAAACUGCCGUGCUCGAGUGUGGGAGAGGUGAGUGGAAUUCCCGGUGUAGCGGUGAAAUGCGCAGAUAUCGGGAAGAACACCCGUGGCGAAGGCGGCUCUCUGGGACGGUACUGACGCUGAGACGCGAAAGCGUGGGGAGCGAACAGG
RNAcentral lists this ribosomal RNA (253 nucleotides) under uncultured bacterium. RNAcentral's name for it is "partial 16S ribosomal RNA". It matches the Rfam family "Bacterial small subunit ribosomal RNA", at positions 524 to 776 of the family's 1533-position model. The record is from RNAcentral.